CAGGACGGUGACGAUGAUAAGAGCAAAAACAGUUUCUUCUUUGGUUCGGCCGACCUCUUCCCAAUCAAGACGAAAACAGACUCUCCCACUGCAGCUAGCGUAUAUGGCAGGGAGCAAAAACCCUUCUUCGACUCUGUUCCAAGCACUCCAGCUGGCGUAUAUGGCAGGGAGCCAAAAACCUUCUUCGACUCUGUUCCAAGCACUCCAGCUAGCGUAUAUGGCAGGGAGCAAAAAACCUUCUUUGACUCUGUUCCAAGCACUCCAGCAUACAACUCCGUCUUUUCACCGCGGUUUAGUGAAGCGGGCGAUGACCACUCCUUCGACAACUUCUCCACUUUUGACUCCUUUGGUACGAACGAGAACAGCUUAUUCAACAGCAACAGCG
This 385-nucleotide long non-coding RNA is filed under the name Ananas comosus (pineapple). RNAcentral describes it as "long non-coding RNA (ACOM_LNC031941)". The record is from RNAcentral. Lineage: Eukaryota; Viridiplantae; Streptophyta; Magnoliopsida; Poales; Bromeliaceae.